Non-coding RNA from Daphnia pulex (common water flea), 74 nucleotides. NCBI's taxonomy places the organism in Eukaryota, Metazoa, Arthropoda, Branchiopoda, Diplostraca, Daphniidae. The record is from Rfam.
UCCUCUGUGGCGCAAUUGGCUAGCGCGUUCGGCUGUUAACCGGAAGGCUGGUGGUUCAAUCCCACCCAGGGGCG